This 274-nucleotide ribosomal RNA is filed under the name uncultured bacterium. Its description in RNAcentral is "partial 16S ribosomal RNA". It matches the Rfam family "Bacterial small subunit ribosomal RNA", at positions 335 to 608 of the family's 1533-position model. The record is from RNAcentral.
AACCCUACGGGGGGCAGCAGUGGGGAAUAUUGCACAAUGGGCGCAAGCCUGAUGCAGCGACGCCGCGUACGGGAUGGAGGCCUUCGGGUUGUAAACCGCUUUUGUUCAGGGGCAAGGCACGGUCUUUGGCCGUGUUGAGUGGAUUGUUCGAAUAAGCACCGGCUAACUACGUGCCAGCAGCCGCGGUAAUACGUAGGGUGCAAGCGUUAUCCGGAUUUAUUGGGCGUGAAGGGCUCGUAGGCGGUUCGUCGCGGCCGAUGUGAAAGCCCGUCGC